GUCGAGUGAAUAGCUGGAGCCUU
RNAcentral lists this non-coding RNA (23 nucleotides) under Arabidopsis thaliana (thale cress). Lineage: Eukaryota; Viridiplantae; Streptophyta; Magnoliopsida; Brassicales; Brassicaceae. The record is from RNAcentral.